AACACAUGCAAGUCGAGGGGUAACGGAAGUAGCUUGCUACUAGACGACGACCGGCGCACGGGUGAGUAACGCGUAUGUAAUCUGCCUUGUACAGAGGGAUAGCCCAGAGAAAUUUGGAUUAAUACCUCAUAGUAUUACUGGAUCGCAUGAUUUGGUAAUUAAAGCUCCGGCGGUACAAGAUGAACAUGCGUGACAUUAGCUAGUUGGUAAGGUAACGGCUUACCAAGGCUACGAUGUCUAGGGGUUCUGAGAGGAUGAUCCCCCACACUGGUACUGAGACACGGACCAGACUCCUACGGGAGGCAGCAGUGAGGAAUAUUGGUCAAUGGACGCAAGUCUGAACCAGCCAUCCCGCGUGAAGGAUGACUGCCCUAUGGGUUGUAAACUUCUUUUAUAUGCAAAUAAACCUACUUUCGUGAAAGUAGCUGAAGGUAGCAUAUGAAUAAACACCGGCUAACUCCGUGCCAGCAGCCGCGGUAAUACGGAGGGUGUAAGCGUUAUCCGGA
Molecule: ribosomal RNA, 506 nt
Filed under: uncultured bacterium
Lineage: Bacteria
Description: bacterial SSU rRNA
Rfam family: Bacterial small subunit ribosomal RNA
Source: RNAcentral